RNAcentral lists this ribosomal RNA (465 nucleotides) under uncultured bacterium. RNAcentral describes it as "partial 16S ribosomal RNA". It matches the Rfam family "Bacterial small subunit ribosomal RNA", at positions 338 to 795 of the family's 1533-position model. The record is from RNAcentral.
CCUACGGGUGGCAGCAGUGGGGAAUAUUGCGCAAUGGACGAAAGUCUGACGCAGCGACGUCGCGUGAGGGAUGAAGGUCUUCGGAUCGUAAACCUCUGUCAGCAGGGAAGAACGGUCACUGUGCUAAUCAGCAGUGAAUUGACGGUACCUGCAAAGGACGCACCGGCUAACUCCGUGCCAGCAGCCGCGGUAAUACGGAGGGUGCGAGCGUUAAUCGGAAUUACUGGGCGUAAAGCGCUCGUAGGCGGUAUGUCAAGUCAAGGGUGAAAUCCCCGCGCUCAACGUGGGAAUUGCCGUUGAAACUGGCAAACUUGAGUAUGUGAGAGGAUAGUGGAAUUCCAGGUGUAGGAGUGAAAUCCGUAGAUAUCUGGAGGAACAUCAGUGGCGAAGGCGACUAUCUGGCACAUAACUGACGCUGAGGAGCGAAAGCGUGGGUAGCAAACAGGAUUAGAUACCCCUGUAGUC